CUUACUUACGCUGCUUUUUCGCCAAGGACAGGUGAAGAAUGAAUGCAGUAAAAUACGGCAGCCUCGUAUGCUGGAUCCUAAAUGGGAACUGCUCCAAGGGAAAAGGACCAAAUCUCCAGUGUUGUAUGAAAUCCAGCAUGAUGGCCUCAUAGACGCUGCCGAUCCAGGUGUUCUCAUCAUACAGGUGAUCCUGGGAGAAGGCCAUGCUGUUCCAGGCCCCUCCUUCCCCCCCGCCGAGUUUUCCUCUCCAGCAUCCUCAGGACAAAGCUCUCCUUCCUUUUGCAUCAUGAAGGACACAACAAUAAAAUUACAAUCAAUGUAAAGUAUUAGAAAGUUGAAAUGAAAAAUAAAAGCCAAAGCACAAGACCCA
Molecule: long non-coding RNA, 370 nt
Filed under: Oryctolagus cuniculus (rabbit)
Lineage: Eukaryota; Metazoa; Chordata; Mammalia; Lagomorpha; Leporidae
Description: lncRNA (ENSOCUG00000034567.1)
Source: RNAcentral